UUAGCAUAACAGAAAUAUAUGAUUCCCACAAUGCAUAAAAGAGCUUGAAUCUCACCCUUAAAACAUUCCAACUUUCCCUUCAUCUCACUCGAACAAAAUCCUUGACCCUACAUUGAAAUUGCUAAUAGAAUUGGUUUUUUAACAUUACAAUUACUCACAACAGUAUAUCAAAUCCUGCACUAACUUGCUACUAACGAUUUAACAUCCAACCGAGUUCAAAACGGAAGCUUGACGACAUGAAUUAACUAGCAUCCAAUCGAUCAUCGACAAAAUUCACUUCAGAUAACUAACAUGUUAAUCAGACUAAUCAACUAAGCACACCUUGCAUCCUGCAUUUUCAUGUUGACAGUAGAAACAUUAUUAUGCCCGCCAUUCAUGACAGCUUUGCAAAAAUCAUCCAGCCUACUAAUACAGUAGAGAAAAAUAUCAUUUUCAUCCUGCAGUAAAUCACAUAACAGAUCAAGACCUAAUUCCACGCCAUUGACUUGACCUAACCAAUUUUCAUUACUUAACUAACCGAAUGACAACCUAACACAUUUUUCAAUGUCUAACUAACUGAAUGUGAAUUGAAUUUACACUUUUGUUUCCAACAGAUUUUAUAACUAACAUCCAACUGAUAUUCACUAACCAACUAUCAUAGCUCAAUCUCAUUUCAAUGUGAAUUUAAGUUAAUUUUGUUACCUGCCCUAACGGUGCCCGAUGUUCACGACCUGCCCGAUUCAGUUACAGCUCUUCAUUCCUCUCUAUAACAUUUCAUUUGCCUCAUUCCGCAUCACUUUUUUAAUUUCGGAAAUUUCUUCAUUCCAAACUUACACAACCUCUUGAUUCUUCAAGCUACGCUUAUCUUCAUUCUGCAACGUCUGCAAGAUUUUCAUUCUGCAACGUCUGCAAGAGCUUGAUUCUGUAACUUCUGCAAGAGCUUCAUUCUAGAGCCUCAAGCUUUAUUCUAUAAUCUGCAAUUCACGGGGAAACAGAUAACUGAAUCAUAGCAAUUAGAAGAAGAAGACUAAAGAAGAAGAGGAGAAAGCAAAUCGAGGAGAAUUCGCUCAUCCUCCUUACAACUUCUCAACCAUUCCCGUACCAGAGGUGUUCUUCAUCUGCAACGGUUCACACAAAAGCAUACUCAAUCUCUACAAUUUACAUACCAGUUUCAGAGUUACAAGAGUAAGAAUAAGAAAGGCAAAGUUGGAAUCAGUUUUGUACCUGUCAAUGAGUAAAGCUUCGAGUCCGAUAAGCCUCUUACAUCCAUUCUCGUUCUUCUUAUUCGUUGUCAUGUGCGUACAUGAGUUGAUUCGAGUGUGGAUGAUGAUUCUAAGCUGCGAACUAUGGAGGUAGAGUCACGUCCUUCAUUUGGCGCAAGGAGAAAUUUCCAUCUUAGCUUCUUUCCAUAAGCGCUUUUUCUGGUGUGUUUCGUGUUACUGAGAUUUCUUUCAAAUCCGGAGGAGGACAUUGGAUUCGUGGCACGAUGAGCUCGUAUAAGAUGAAUACGACGGAUUCAUGGUGUUGACAGGAGACGAAUCCGGCGCGACUUUUGGAAUGUGCGAGUAAGCUUGAAUAUGUGACAUUCAUU
RNAcentral lists this long non-coding RNA (1570 nucleotides) under Lathyrus oleraceus (garden pea). RNAcentral describes it as "Pisum sativum (pea) long non-coding RNA (PSAT_LNC034538)". The record is from RNAcentral. Lineage: Eukaryota; Viridiplantae; Streptophyta; Magnoliopsida; Fabales; Fabaceae.